UUUCUUUAAAUUCAACUUUAACGAGCCAUUAUAGAAGAAGAAGCUAGAUCAAAGCAUGAACCAGAAGAAAAAUGUCAGCCUCAAAAUUUGGCUUGUAGAUUUCAGAAAAGCAAAAGGAAAAAAGUUCAUUGGAAAAAAAAAAGAAAAAAAGCUCCUAUUGCACAGGUAAAAAGUGAAAAUCCAGUGCUACCAGUCGUUCUAAGAUGCGGGGAAAUAAAUAAAGGAGCUCAGUCACGUCAUGUCCUCCCUGACCAGAAAUUUACAAGCAGUCAAAUUUGCCUGCACUUCGUAAAACUACUCAGGAUAUGGGCACUUGCAUGAGUAGGUA
RNAcentral lists this long non-coding RNA (328 nucleotides) under Elaeis guineensis (African oil palm). RNAcentral's name for it is "long non-coding RNA (EGUI_LNC005757)". The record is from RNAcentral. Lineage: Eukaryota; Viridiplantae; Streptophyta; Magnoliopsida; Arecales; Arecaceae.